Long non-coding RNA from Humulus lupulus (European hop), 419 nucleotides. RefSeq lists it as uncharacterized. NCBI's taxonomy places the organism in Eukaryota, Viridiplantae, Streptophyta, Magnoliopsida, Rosales, Cannabaceae. The record is from RefSeq and is a predicted model, not a curated record. The transcript is spliced from 3 exons.
GAGCACUCUACUGAGUACAUCCAUCAAGGAUUCAAAUUUUUAACUUGCAGUCAGCGCACAAGGCCAUUCAAGAAACAUGAGGAAAGUGCUUGUCUUCUUUAAUCCAAUCACGUUUGGAAUUACAUUCACUCUUGGAAAUCUUCUUGCGCUUGGAAGGUGAAUAAGAUAAAGGUGAUAUCUAUUAAUCAGAGGAUUGUGCAAUCAACAACUAAAAUGGUAGCUGUAAUUUUAGAUAUGAUGACUAAUUGUUGUAUGUAAUUGAAUUUUGUUAACUCUUAUUUGUAUUUUUACAAGAGAGAUAGAUGUAUUUGUAUGGGAAUGGAUUGUUGAUAAAGGCAACUAUUGUUGAGAAACUCUCAUAUUUUUUUGCCAUCUUCUUGGAUUGGAUAGUCAUUUAUACUAGUUAUAUAUAGUUUUGA